RNAcentral lists this ribosomal RNA (617 nucleotides) under uncultured organism. Its description in RNAcentral is "bacterial SSU rRNA". It matches the Rfam family "Bacterial small subunit ribosomal RNA", at positions 742 to 1355 of the family's 1533-position model. The record is from RNAcentral.
GACCCUGAGGCACGAAAGCGUGGCUAGCGCACAGGAUUAGAUACCCUGGUAGUCCACGCCGUAAACUAUGAUCACUCGCUGUUGGCAAUACAUCGUCAGCGGCUGACCGUAAGCAUUAACGUGAUCCACCUGGGGAGUACGGUCGCAAGCUUGAAACUCAAAGGAAUUGACGGGGGCCCGCACAAGCGGAGGAACAUGUGGUUGAAUUCGAUGAUACGCGAGGAACCUUACCUGGGCUUAAAUGCAGAGAGACGUUCCGGGAAACCGGAAUUCCUUCGGACGAUCUGCAAGGUGCUGCAUGGCUGUCGUCAGCUCAGUGCCGUGAGGUGUCGGCUUAAGUCCCAUAACGAGCGCAACCCUUAUCGUUAGUUACCAGCGGGUAAUGCCGGGGACUCUAACGAAACUGCCGUGUGUAUACCGUGAGGAAGGUGGUGAUGACGUCAAGUCAGCACGGCCCUUAUGUCCAGGGCUACACACGUGUUACAAUGGUCAGGUACAGACGGGCAGCUACAUGGCAACAGGAUGCAUAUCUCUGCAAACCGGUCUCAGUUCGGAUUUGGAGUCUGCGAAUGCGACUUCAUGAAACAGAGAUUCGCUAGUAAUCGCGCAUCAGCCAU